UACGUAGGGUGCAGGCGUUAAUCGGAAUUACUGGGCGUAAAGCGUGCGCAGGCGGCCUCUUAAGUCAGAUGUGAAAUCCCCGGGCUUAACCUGGGAACUGCGUUUGAAACUGGUAGGCUAGAGUGUGGAAGAGGGGGGUGGAAUUCCAGGUGUAGCAGUGAAAUGCGUAGAGAUGUGGAGGAACACCGAUGGCGAAGGCAGCCCCCUGGGUUAACACUGACGCUCAGGCACGAAAGCGUGGGGAGCAAACAGG
Molecule: ribosomal RNA, 253 nt
Filed under: uncultured bacterium
Lineage: Bacteria
Description: partial 16S ribosomal RNA
Rfam family: Bacterial small subunit ribosomal RNA
Source: RNAcentral